This 151-nucleotide ribosomal RNA is filed under the name uncultured Anaeromyxobacter sp. RNAcentral's name for it is "partial 16S ribosomal RNA". It matches the Rfam family "Bacterial small subunit ribosomal RNA", at positions 355 to 506 of the family's 1533-position model. The record is from RNAcentral. Lineage: Bacteria; Pseudomonadati; Myxococcota; Myxococcia; Myxococcales; Anaeromyxobacteraceae.
UGGGGAAUUUUGGUCAAUGGGGGCAACCCUGAACCAGCAACGCCGCGUGGGUGAUGAAGGCCUUCGGGUUGUAAAGCCCUGUCGGGAGGGACGAAACUCCACCGUAAGGUGGUCUGACGGUACCUCCAAAGGAAGCACCGGCUAACUCUGU